RNAcentral lists this ribosomal RNA (465 nucleotides) under uncultured bacterium. RNAcentral's name for it is "partial 16S ribosomal RNA". It matches the Rfam family "Bacterial small subunit ribosomal RNA", at positions 338 to 795 of the family's 1533-position model. The record is from RNAcentral.
CCUACGGGUGGCAGCAGUGGGGAAUAUUGCGCAAUGGGCGAAAGCCUGACGCAGCGACGCCGCGUGAGGGAUGAAGGUCUUCUGAUCGUAAACCUCUGUCAGCAGGGAAGAACGGUCACUGUGCUAAUCAGCAGUGAAUUGACGGUACCUGCAAAGGAAGCACCGGCUAACUCCGUGCCAGCAGCCGCGGUAAUACGGAGGGUGCGAGCGUUAAUCGGAAUUACUGGGCGUAAAGCGCUCGUAGGCGGUAUGUCAAGUCAAGGGUGAAAGCCCCGCGCUCAACGUGGGAACUGCCUUUGAAACUGUCAAACUGGAGUGUGUGAGAGGAUAGUGGAAUUCCAGGUGUAGGAGUGAAAUCCGUAGAUAUCUGGAGGAACAUCAGUGGCGAAGGCGACUAUCUGGCACAUAACUGACGCUGAGGAGCGAAAGCGUGGGUAGCAAACAGGAUUAGAUACCCCGGUAGUC